AUUGAACGCUGGCGGCAUGCUUUACACAUGCAAGUCGAACGGUAACAGGUUAAGCUGACGAGUGGCGAACGGGUGAGUAAUGCAUCGGAACGUGCCCGAUCGUGGGGGAUAACGCAGCGAAAGCUGCGCUAAUACCGCAUACGAUCUGAGGAUGAAAGCGGGGGACCGUAAGGCCUCGCGCGAUCGGAGCGGCCGAUGUCAGAUUAGGUAGUUGGUGGGGUAAAGGCCCACCAAGCCGACGAUCUGUAGCUGGUCUGAGAGGACGACCGGCCACACUGGGACUGAGACACGGCCCAGACUCCUACGGGAGGCAGCAGUGGGGAAUUUUGGACAAUGGGCGAAAGCCUGAUCCAGCAAUGCCGCGUGCAGGAAGAAGGCCUUCGGGUUGUAAACUGCUUUUGUACGGAGCGAAAAGAUCCUUUCUAAUACAAGGGGCUCAUGACGGUACCGUAAGAAUAAGCACCGGCUAACUACGUGCCAGCAGCCGCCGCAG
Molecule: ribosomal RNA, 493 nt
Filed under: uncultured bacterium
Lineage: Bacteria
Description: partial 16S ribosomal RNA
Rfam family: Bacterial small subunit ribosomal RNA
Source: RNAcentral